GAUGAACGCUGGCGGCGUGCCUAAUACAUGCAAGUCGAGCGAACAGACGAGGAGCUUGCUCCUCUGACGUUAGCGGCGGACGGGUGAGUAACACGUGGAUAACCUACCUAUAAGACUGGGAUAACUUCGGGAAACCGGAGCUAAUACCGGAUAAUAUAUUGAACCGCAUGGUUCAAUAGUGAAAGACGGUUUUGCUGUCACUUAUAGAUGGAUCCGCGCCGCAUUCGCUAGUUGGUAAGGUAACGGCUUACCAAGGCGACGAUGCGUAGCCGACCUGAGAGGGUGAUCGGCCACACUGGAACUGAGACACGGUCCAGACUCCUACGGGAGGCAGCAGUAGGGAAUCUUCCGCAAUGGGCGAAAGCCUGACGGAGCAACGCCGCGUGAGUGAUGAAGGUCUUCGGAUCGUAAAACUCUGUUAUUAGGGAAGAAGAAAUGUGUAAGUAACUAUGCACGUCUUGACGGUACCUAAUCAGAAAGCCACGGCUAACUACGUG
RNAcentral lists this ribosomal RNA (497 nucleotides) under uncultured bacterium. RNAcentral's name for it is "partial 16S ribosomal RNA". It matches the Rfam family "Bacterial small subunit ribosomal RNA", at positions 28 to 507 of the family's 1533-position model. The record is from RNAcentral.